UACGGAGGGUGCUAGCGUUGUUCGGAUAUACUGGGCGUAAAGCGCACGUAGGCGGCGCCGUAAGUCAGGGGUGAAAUCCCGGAGCUCAACUCCGGAACUGCCUCUGAAACUGCAGUGCUAGAAUCUUGGAGAGGCGAGUGGAAUUCCGAGUGUAGAGGUGAAAUUCGUAGAUAUUCGGAAGAACACCAGUGGCGAAGGCGACUCGCUGGACAAGUAUUGACGCUGAGGUGCGAAAGCGUGGGGAGCAAACAGG
RNAcentral lists this ribosomal RNA (253 nucleotides) under uncultured bacterium. RNAcentral's name for it is "partial 16S ribosomal RNA". It matches the Rfam family "Bacterial small subunit ribosomal RNA", at positions 524 to 776 of the family's 1533-position model. The record is from RNAcentral.